RNAcentral lists this ribosomal RNA (253 nucleotides) under uncultured bacterium. RNAcentral's name for it is "partial 16S ribosomal RNA". It matches the Rfam family "Bacterial small subunit ribosomal RNA", at positions 524 to 776 of the family's 1533-position model. The record is from RNAcentral.
UACGUAGGGUGCAAGCGUUGUCCGGAAUUAUUGGGCGUAAAGAGCCCGUAGGCGGUCUGUUGCGUCCGCUGUGAAAACUCGGGGCUUAACCCCGAGCCUGCAGUGGAUACGGGCAGACUAGAGGUAGGUAGGGGAGAAUGGAAUUCCCGGUGUAGCGGUGAAAUGCGCAGAUAUCGGGAGGAACACCGGUGGCGAAGGCGGUUCUCUGGGCCUUACCUGACGCUGAGGAGCGAAAGCGUGGGGAGCGAACAGG